GGGGGCAGAAAUACUGGAGGGUUCUAAAACACAGUCCCUCCACAGGAGUUAAAUCAUGUGCCAGUUCAGGGAUUCACUUCUGGAGGGAGAAACCUGAUUUAUUUCAUGAGUUUUUGUAUGGAUGGAAGUUUUCAAAUGAUUUAGUAGUUUCAAGUACAUUUGCAACCCUCAGAGAGGCCGGGUCCAGGCUGGCAGUCUUUGAAGGUUUUGCAGUCGACAAGGUCCUCAUAUGCAUGAAGAUGUCUUGUUUCUGGUAAACUCUAUUUUGGAAAAAAAAAAAAAAUCACUGACUUUACUUUGAAGACUUUGCAUCAGUCUCUGGAGGCAAACAGGGCAGCAGUCCAGAAUUUUCUUGGCCGUCAGCACAAAGGAGGCUACACAUCAGUAACAAGGAGAAACGGCAAACUUCAGCAAAAACAAAGACCUGUCCUGGUUUUAAAAGAAAGACAGAAAGAAAGAAAACAGGACAUAUGAUCACCUAAGUUAGCUGCCAAGUAUAUGAAGGAGCUCCAAAAAGAGUGCAGUGUUCAUUGUAAAAGAGAAACCAUAAUUACUGCUAGGAAAUCUGGAGUGAUAAGUUCAUAGAGCUGCUGAGCACUAAUUGCGGGUGGGCAGUGGAGGGGACGGCUUUGAGUGAGAACCUGCCUAGAGUAACAGCCUCGUUCUUUCAAGAUCAAACCUUCUUUUUGUGAACUCUGCACGAUGGGAUACCAAGUGGUACUGAUGCCAGGGCUUCCCAGAAGCAUGGAAACGGGAAGAAAGCCUUCUGUAGGUGUCAGAUAUCUCAGAAAUGGUGUGUUCCAUUUGGAUUUCCUCUAAUGAUUUGUGUUGACUGGAAAAGAAGACGAAAUGGCGAUGCCCUGGUUGCACAGGCACUGAUCACAAUGAGAGCAGACCUGCCCAGGGGGGAGAACUGGUUCCUGAACAUGUACCGCAGGUGUGGAAAAUCCUUAUGCUCCGGACCGGGUGAUACAUCAACUUCCCAAACAUACUAUCUGGUCCAACAAUUAGGCAAUAAAAAGCCACUCUGUAUUUUA
This 1037-nucleotide long non-coding RNA is filed under the name Sus scrofa (pig). RNAcentral's name for it is "lncRNA (ENSSSCG00060072737.1)". The record is from RNAcentral. Lineage: Eukaryota; Metazoa; Chordata; Mammalia; Artiodactyla; Suidae.